This 240-nucleotide unclassified non-coding RNA is filed under the name soil metagenome. Its description in RNAcentral is "partial contains 5.8S ribosomal RNA, internal transcribed spacer 2, and large subunit ribosomal RNA". The record is from RNAcentral.
AACGCACGAGACCUGCGGACCUGCGGAGGGAUCAUUACAUGGCGGAGGAGGUGGGCACCUAGUAAAAACAAAACCCUAGGUGUGUUGCCUACCACGCUUUCUACCCUUGUCUAUUUGCACCUUUUGUCGUUCCCUCGGUGGGUCUUGAACCUGCCGGCGGCAACUUUCAAAAACCUUUUGUAGCUAGUAUCUAAUUCUUCUGAUCAAAUAUUCAAUCGUUACAACUUUCAGCAACGGAUC